Molecule: transfer RNA, 59 nt
Filed under: Vibrio cholerae O1 biovar El Tor
Lineage: Bacteria; Pseudomonadati; Pseudomonadota; Gammaproteobacteria; Vibrionales; Vibrionaceae
Also listed under: 1 other name
Description: tRNA-Arg
Rfam family: tRNA
About the family: Transfer RNA (tRNA) molecules are approximately 80 nucleotides in length. Their secondary structure includes four short double-helical elements and three loops (D, anti-codon, and T loops). Further hydrogen bonds mediate the characteristic L-shaped molecular structure. tRNAs have two regions of fundamental functional importance: the anti-codon, which is responsible for specific mRNA codon recognition, and the 3' end, to which the tRNAs corresponding amino acid is attached (by aminoacyl-tRNA synthetases). tRNAs cope with the degeneracy of the genetic code in two manners: having more than one tRNA (with a specific anti-codon) for a particular amino acid; and 'wobble' base-pairing, i.e. permitting non-standard base-pairing at the 3rd anti-codon position.
Source: RNAcentral
UAGCUCAGCUGGAUAGAGUACCUGGCUACGAACCAGGCGGUCAGAGGUUCGAAUCCUCU